UACGUAUGGUGCAAGCGUUAUCCGGAUUUACUGGGUGUAAAGGGAGCGCAGGCGGUGCGGCAAGUCUGAUGUGAAAGCCCGGGGCUCAACCCCGGUAUUGCAUUGGAAACUGUCGUACUAGAGUGUCGGAGGGGUAAGUGGAAUUCCUAGUGUAGCGGUGAAAUGCGUAGAUAUUAGGAGGAACACCAGUGGCGAAGGCGGCUUACUGGACGAUAACUGACGCUGAGGCUCGAAAGCGUGGGGAGCAAACAGG
RNAcentral lists this ribosomal RNA (253 nucleotides) under Roseburia faecis M72/1. RNAcentral describes it as "partial 16S ribosomal RNA". It matches the Rfam family "Bacterial small subunit ribosomal RNA", at positions 524 to 776 of the family's 1533-position model. Lineage: Bacteria; Bacillati; Bacillota; Clostridia; Lachnospirales; Lachnospiraceae. The record is from RNAcentral.